Long non-coding RNA from Cydia pomonella (codling moth), 666 nucleotides. RefSeq lists it as uncharacterized. The record is from RefSeq and is a predicted model, not a curated record. NCBI's taxonomy places the organism in Eukaryota, Metazoa, Arthropoda, Insecta, Lepidoptera, Tortricidae. The transcript has 2 exons.
UUGGACACAUUCUUCUACAUCUGGCUCCAUUCUGCAAGAUUUGAAGAGCUUUCUUCACGUCUACACCUUGGCUCGCGUUUUUAUCAAACGAAGAGUAUUCUGCACGACUUGAAGGCUAUUCGAUUUCGAUUUGGACUUAAUUCUGCAAGAUUUAAAUAGAUUUCUGAUUAAACCUUACCCAAAUCAAGAUCUUGACGAGUACUUUUGAACCGUCGCCAGAAAACUACGGACAAGAAGGCAUCCUGCAAGAUCAUUGAUGUCUUUGUGUUUCUGUUCCAACGCUUCGCAUCGGCUCAAACUCAAUUGCAGGUCCAUGGGGUCCCAGCGCGCACAAGUUUUUUGGAGAAAUCGCGAAACGUCUGGUUGACGUAACUGGUGACCGAAGAGCUGGCGGCUUCCUCGCAGAGCGUAUCAGUAUUGCGAUACAACGAGGAAAUGUCGCCAGCAUCCUUGGUACAAUGCCUCAAGGGCCUAUUUUAGAUAUAAGCUAGUUAUAGUAAUCAUCUGUAUAUAUCCAUUAUGUAUAUUGUUAUUGUAAAUAAAUAUAGCAGUAGCUACUCUUCAGUGAUUUUGAUUUAGUUUUCGAGUUGGGAUACUGUUACUACUUGUGUUGUCUUGUAAUAUACAAAAAUAAAUUUGAAAAAAAAAACUAUAAAGUAUUAAGUA